Molecule: ribosomal RNA, 253 nt
Filed under: uncultured bacterium
Lineage: Bacteria
Description: partial 16S ribosomal RNA
Rfam family: Bacterial small subunit ribosomal RNA
Source: RNAcentral
UACGUAGGGUGCGAGCGUUGUCCGGAAUUACUGGGCGUAAAGAGCUCGUAGGUGGUUUGUCGCGUUGUUCGUGAAAACUCACAGCUCAACUGUGGGCGUGCGGGCGAUACGGGCAGACUGGAGUACUGCAGGGGAGACUGGAAUUCCUGGUGUAGCGGUGGAAUGCGCAGAUAUCAGGAGGAACACCGGUGGCGAAGGCGGGUCUCUGGGCAGUAACUGACGCUGAGGAGCGAAAGUGUGGGGAGCGAACAGG